GAUGAACGCUGGCGGCGUGCCUAAUACAUGCAAGUCGAGCGAACAGACGAGGAGCUUGCUCCUCUGACGUUAGCGGAGGACGGGUGAGUAACACGUGGAUAACCUACCUAUAAGACUGGGAUAACUUCGGGAAGCCGGAGCUAAUACCGGAUAAUAUAUUGAACCGCAUGGUUCAAUAGUGAAAGACGGUUUUGCUGUCACUUAUAGAUGGAUCCGCGCCGCAUUAGCUAGUUGGUAAGGAAACGGCUUACCAAGGCAACGAUGCGUAGCCGACCUGAGAGGGGGAUCGCCCACACUGGAACUGAGACACGGUCCAGGCUCCUACGGGAGGCAGCAGUAGGGAAUCUUCCGCAAUGGGCGAAAGCUUGACGGAGCAACGCCGCGUGAGUGAUGAAGGUCUUCGGAUCGUAAAACUCUGUUAUUAGGGAAGAACAAAUGUGUAAGUAACUAUGCACGUCUUGACGGUACCCAAUCAGAAAGCCACGGCUAACUACGUG
Molecule: ribosomal RNA, 497 nt
Filed under: uncultured bacterium
Lineage: Bacteria
Description: partial 16S ribosomal RNA
Rfam family: Bacterial small subunit ribosomal RNA
Source: RNAcentral